UGGGGAAUUUUGGACAAUGGGCGAAAGCCUGAUCCAGCAAUGCCGCGUGUGUGAAGAAGGCCUUCGGGUUGUAAAGCACUUUUGUCCGGAAAGAAAUCCUUGGCUCUAAUACAGUCGGGGGAUGACGGUACCGGAAGAAUAAGCACCGGCUAACUACGUGCCAGCAGCCGCGGUAAUACGUAGGGUGCAAGCGUUAAUCGGAAUUACUGGGCGUAAAGCGUGCGCAGGCGGUUUGCUAAGACCGAUGUGAAAUCCCCGGGCUCAACCUGGGAACUGCAUUGGUGACUGGCAGGCUAGAGUAUGGCAGAGGGGGGUAGAAUUCCACGUGUAGCAGUGAAAUGCGUAGAGAUGUGGAGGAAUACCGAUGGCGAAGGCAGCCCCCUGGGCCAAUACUGACGCUCAUGCACGAAAGCGUGGGGAGCAAACAGGAUUAGAUACCCUGGUAGUCCACGCCCUAAACGACGUCAACUAGUUGUUGGGGAUUCAUUUCCUAGUAACGUAGCUAACGCGUGAAGUUGACCGCCUGGGGAGUACGGUCGCAAGAUUAAAACUCAAAUGAAUUGACGGGGUCAUAGCUGUUUCCU
This 584-nucleotide ribosomal RNA is filed under the name uncultured bacterium. RNAcentral's name for it is "partial 16S ribosomal RNA". It matches the Rfam family "Bacterial small subunit ribosomal RNA", at positions 355 to 1375 of the family's 1533-position model. The record is from RNAcentral.